Molecule: long non-coding RNA, 573 nt
Organism: Mus musculus (house mouse)
Lineage: Eukaryota; Metazoa; Chordata; Mammalia; Rodentia; Muridae
Product: predicted gene, 36592
Exons: 3
Source: RefSeq, a predicted model, not a curated record
UUGACUCCUUAGUCCUUGAUGUAGGCUAGUCUCUGUCAGGCUAUGGUUAGUGGGACUGGGACCAAGUGCUGGUUCUGAGCCUCAGUGUCAUGUGCUUCCGUCCUCUCCCUCUGAAGCAGGCUAAGCUACGACAGACAAACAAGCCCAGGCUUAGCUUGGAGGACGAGAGACUACGGAAAGCAAAUCACCCAAGCAUGCCUGGAAGCUGUGAGAUCAAGGAUUCUGGAUGUGUUUGAUGAGGAGUUAGGGAACCAGGGAUUCUCCGUGUACUGAGGAGUUCUUGUAUUGAUUGUUGACCUCUGACACAUGCGUGUGGGGGUUCACAUGCAUGAGAAGAGAGAGCAAGCCCUGGUAUGAACACACUUUGCUAUCUACUCCACCUACGCCAUUGUUAGCUCUCCAUUAGCCCCAAAAUGUCCCAAGGUGUGUGCUGCUGGCACCUAGAGGACCAGGUGAGUGUGAGUGGGUACAGAUUCAGCCCAGCUUCCGUGAGAGCAAUUCAGCACUGCAGGUCAGUCUCUGAAAGUUGAAGUGCCAGCAUGAAGCCAACAAUAUCCAUCCGUUCAUCCAUCC